CCUACGGGAGGCAGCAGUGGGGAAUAUUGCACAAUGGGCGCAAGCCUGAUGCAGCCAUGCCGCGUGUGUGAAGAAGGCCUUCGGGUUGUAAAGCACUUUCAGCGGGGAGGAAGGCGUUAAGGUUAAUAACCUUGGCGAUUGACGUUACCCGCAGAAGAAGCACCGGCUAACUCCGUGCCAGCAGCCGCGGUAAUACGGAGGGUGCAAGCGUUAAUCGGAAUUACUGGGCGUAAAGCGCACGCGGGCGGUCUGUCAAGUCGGAUGUGAAAUCCCCGGGCUCAACCUGGGAACUGCAUUCGAAACUGGCAGGCUAGAGUCUUGUAGAGGGGGGUAGAAUUCCAGGUGUAGCGGUGAAAUGCGUAGAGAUCUGGAGGAAUACCGGUGGCGAAGGCGGCCCCCUGGACAAAGACUGACGCUCAGGUGCGAAAGCGUGGGGAGCAAACAGGAUUAGAUACCCCGGUAGUC
This 465-nucleotide ribosomal RNA is filed under the name uncultured Klebsiella sp. RNAcentral's name for it is "bacterial SSU rRNA". It matches the Rfam family "Bacterial small subunit ribosomal RNA", at positions 338 to 795 of the family's 1533-position model. Lineage: Bacteria; Pseudomonadati; Pseudomonadota; Gammaproteobacteria; Enterobacterales; Enterobacteriaceae. The record is from RNAcentral.